RNAcentral lists this transfer RNA (68 nucleotides) under Caudacaecilia cf. nigroflava KUHE 34877. Its description in RNAcentral is "tRNA-Val". Lineage: Eukaryota; Metazoa; Chordata; Amphibia; Gymnophiona; Ichthyophiidae. The record is from RNAcentral.
CAAAAUGUAGUUUAAAAAAAACAUUCCGCUUACACCGGAAAAAAAUCUGACAGGCCAGAACAUUUUGA